This is a small nuclear RNA of Ahaetulla prasina, 107 nucleotides long. The record is from RefSeq and is a predicted model, not a curated record. Lineage: Eukaryota; Metazoa; Chordata; Lepidosauria; Squamata; Colubridae.
GUGCUCACUUUGGGAACACAUAUACUGAAAUUGGAAUGAUACAGAGAAGUUUAGCAAGGUCCCUGUGCAAGGAUAACAAGCAAAUUCAUGAAGUGUUCCAUAUUUUU